This 87-nucleotide transfer RNA is filed under the name bacterium. RNAcentral's name for it is "tRNA-Leu". It matches the Rfam family "tRNA". From Rfam's summary of the family: Transfer RNA (tRNA) molecules are approximately 80 nucleotides in length. Their secondary structure includes four short double-helical elements and three loops (D, anti-codon, and T loops). Further hydrogen bonds mediate the characteristic L-shaped molecular structure. tRNAs have two regions of fundamental functional importance: the anti-codon, which is responsible for specific mRNA codon recognition, and the 3' end, to which the tRNAs corresponding amino acid is attached (by aminoacyl-tRNA synthetases). tRNAs cope with the degeneracy of the genetic code in two manners: having more than one tRNA (with a specific anti-codon) for a particular amino acid; and 'wobble' base-pairing, i.e. permitting non-standard base-pairing at the 3rd anti-codon position. The record is from RNAcentral.
GCCGAAGUGGCGGAAUUGGCAGACGCGCUAGGUUCAGGACCUAGUGGUCGCAAGGCCGUCGGGGUUCGACUCCCCGCUUCGGCACCA